CCUGAUGCUUUCAAGGAAGCCUCUCCUUCUCAGGUGGCAUCAGCAGCUACAAUUUCUGUAGCAUUUAUGGAAGCUUUGAGCACCAUGUUUCAGAAUUUCAGCCAUGACUACAGUGCAGAAGAUGCUUCAGGUUUCUUUGUUUCACUGCUUUUUGGCCUUGGGCCGUUGCUUGGUGGCAUCAUUCUUGUUGCAUUUGCUCUUGCAUUCCAUCUUCAGCAUGCCCUUCUCAUGGGUGCAGCAUCUGGCAUUUCCUUUGUCCUCGGUGCAUGGCGACCACUACAGCUACUUGUGUCAUCAAAGAUGGGGAUUAUACCUCUUGUAUUUUUGCUUACUGUGGGAGCAGUAUUUGUCCAUUUUUGUGGCUCCAGUAUUUUGAGUCUUUCAGGUCGCAAAAGGGCAUCAGCAAAUAAUCUACCCACAAUAAGUGGCUUUCCCAUGAGUAUUCACACCCUUCAAUCGUUCCUUUCAUGCGGAGCAGUUGCCUUCCAUGCAUUGGCUGAGGGACUUGCCCUAGGGGUGGCUGCACCAAAAGCUUAUGGACUUGGUCGGCACAUGGUCCUUCCUGUCUCUUUACAUGGACUUCCCCGUGGUGCUGCUGUGGCUAGCUGCAUCUUUGGCGCUACCGACAGCUGGCACAAUGCUCUAGCAGCAGCUGCUUUAAUUGGAUUUAUGGGUCCAAUGUCCGCCAUUGGAGCAAUACUUGCAGGAAUUGACUACAGUGGUUUGGAUCAUAUAAUGGUUUUAGCAUGUGGGGGUUUACUCCCAAGCUUUGGAAGGAUAAUCCAAAGAGCACUAAACUUGGAUACUAGGAAAGGCAUUUCUGGGCUUGCAAUAGGAGUUGGUUUUGCUACUCUUUGCUUAACAUGCACUAAGUUGGUUUGCUUGCACACACCAUAUUGCAACUCUGCUCCAGAGGCUGUCACAUAAGAGCUAUUGAUUUGUCGUUCACUUUACUGCGAUGGCAUGUUCAGUGAACUUGAAAGAACAGAUUAUCUCGGGGAUAAAAGGAUGAUUCCGNNNNNNNUACUAUUUUCUCUUUUUUUUUUUUGGCUUUCUCAAUUCUCUAAAAGAUAUAAAGAGGAGGAAAAAUUUGUGGAUUGGCUGACUGGCUGCAGCUG
Molecule: unclassified non-coding RNA, 1118 nt
Filed under: Hevea brasiliensis (rubber tree)
Lineage: Eukaryota; Viridiplantae; Streptophyta; Magnoliopsida; Malpighiales; Euphorbiaceae
Source: RNAcentral